GGGUGUGAGGGUGAUCUGGUUGCGACAUUUGUCACCCCACUGAUUGCCAGGGUUGAUUCCGCUGAUCUGGCUGGCUAUGCAGGUGUCCCCUUCCUCCCUCAUCACUCCAUGUGUGUCCCUCCUGAAGCUGUGUGCUAUGUAGAAGAGGAUGACUGUCCUGGUUAGAGGAAGACCGUUUCCUCAGUCAAGUGUAUACCAGUAGCUGUGCUUCUCUGAUAGAACCUCCAAACAAGCUCUCAAAAAUACAACAAAUCAUCAAAAAGACAAUACAUCAUGACUAAGUGGACUCCAU
Molecule: small nuclear RNA, 292 nt
Filed under: Heterocephalus glaber (naked mole-rat)
Lineage: Eukaryota; Metazoa; Chordata; Mammalia; Rodentia; Bathyergidae
Description: 7SK RNA
Rfam family: 7SK RNA
About the family: 7SK was discovered as an abundant small nuclear RNA in the mid-70s but a possible function has only recently been suggested. Two independent studies have found that 7SK RNA binds the CDK9/cyclin T complex (known as elongation factor P-TEFb).
Source: Rfam by way of RNAcentral